Molecule: long non-coding RNA, 752 nt
Organism: Bos taurus (domestic cattle)
Lineage: Eukaryota; Metazoa; Chordata; Mammalia; Artiodactyla; Bovidae
Source: Ensembl
GUUGCCUCCAAGAAGGGAUAUCAAAGAUGACUUUGCUACCCAAGUAAGGUAUCUUGGCCAGAGUCUGAAAUAAUGCGAGGAGGUAUAAAGCAGAAGUUGUGUGUGUAUAAAACUAUGGAAAGAGGUUAGGGGAGAAGGCUGUCACUCUGGCAGGUGGUUUUUGUAAAAAGGUGAUCUCUUGAAGUUCAAGAAAUUGAAAAAUAUCUACACCUACUCCUGGGAAGCUUGCCACAAAGCAGGAGGUGGUGGCUCCCCUGGCAGAAGAGCCAAGGCCAUCCUGACUCUCAGAGGAAACUGACUUCUCCCUAACAGCUGAGCGGACUCAUUGAUUCAUGAAAACAGGAACUGUUAGAAGAAACCUCCAGGUUCUCAGAACCACAUCUCUAUGCUUCCCUACAUCUCUGUCCACACGCACCACCUUCUCUUCUGUUGCUUUGGAAGAACGGACUCAAAGCCACCCCUCCACUGACACACUUGAUGUCAUCUCUGAUCGACUCAAAGUACCAUCCCAGGAACUCUACCCUCGCUGUCCUAUGUAUCCAUUUCCAUCUCCUGGACUUUCCAUCAGAACACAAAUAUAAUUUUAUUUAUCUUUCUUUGGACUUCGCUGGUGAUCCAGUGGCUAAGACUCUGAGCUUCCAAUGCAGUGGGUCCGGGUUCCAUCCCUGGUCAGGGAACUAGAUCACACGUGCCUCAUCUAAAGAUCCCAUGUGCUGCAGCUAAGACCCGGCGUAGCCAAGUAAAUAAGUAAA